This 574-nucleotide ribosomal RNA is filed under the name uncultured bacterium. RNAcentral's name for it is "partial 16S ribosomal RNA". It matches the Rfam family "Bacterial small subunit ribosomal RNA", at positions 355 to 920 of the family's 1533-position model. The record is from RNAcentral.
UGGGGAAUAUUGCACAAUGGGCGCAAGCCUGAUGCAGCCAUGCCGCGUGUGUGAAGAGGGCCUUCGGGUUGUAAAGCACUUUCAGCGAGGAGGAAGGUGGUGAGCUUAAUACGCUCAUCAAUUGACGUUACUCGCAGAAGAAGCACCGGCUAACUCCGUGCCAGCAGCCGCGGUAAUACGGAGGGUGCAAGCGUUAAUCGGAAUUACUGGGCGUAAAGCGCACGCAGGCGGCUUGUUAAGUCAGAUGUGAAAUCCCCGGGCUCAACCUGGGAACUGCAUUUGAAACUGGCAAGCUAGAGUCUCGUAGAGGGGGGUAGAAUUCCAGGUGUAGCGGUGAAAUGCGUAGAGAUCUGGAGGAAUACCGGUGGCGAAGGCGGCCCCCUGGACGAAGACUGACGCUCAGGUGCGAAAGCGUGGGGCAGCAAACAGGAUUAGAUACCCUGGUAGUCCACGCUGUAAACGAUGUCGAUUUUGGAGGUUGUGCCCUUGAGGCGUGGCUUCCGGAGCUAACGCGUUAAAUCGACCGCCUGGGGAGUACGGCCGCAAGGUUAAAACUCAAAUGAAUUGCGGGGUC